RNAcentral lists this ribosomal RNA (504 nucleotides) under uncultured bacterium. RNAcentral's name for it is "partial 16S ribosomal RNA". It matches the Rfam family "Bacterial small subunit ribosomal RNA", at positions 30 to 523 of the family's 1533-position model. The record is from RNAcentral.
AUUGAACGCUGGCGGCAUGCCUUACACAUGCAAGUCGAACGGCAGCAUGGAGAGCUUGCUCUCUGAUGGCGAGUGGCGAACGGGUGAGUAAUGCAUCGGAACGUACCGUGUAAUGGGGGAUAACGUAGCGAAAGUUACGCUAAUACCGCAUACGACCUGAGGGCGAAAGCAGGGGAUCGCAAGACCUUGCGUUAUACGAGCGGCCGAUGUCAGAUUAGCUAGUUGGUGAGGUAAAGGCUCACCAAGGCGACGAUCUGUAGCGGGUCUGAGAGGAUGAUCCGCCACACUGGGGAGGAGACACGGCCCAGACACCUACGGGAGGCAGCAGUGGGGAAUUUUGGUCAAUGGGGGAAACCCUGAUCCAGCCAUGCCGCGUGAGUGAAGAAGGCCUUCGGGUUGUAAAGCUCUUUCGGCCGGGAAGAAAUCGCACAGGCUAAUACUCUGUGUGGAUGACGGUACCGGCAUAAGAAGCAUCGGCUAAUUAUGUGCCAGCCGCCGCAGUAA